Molecule: non-coding RNA, 322 nt
Organism: Hydra vulgaris (swiftwater hydra)
Lineage: Eukaryota; Metazoa; Cnidaria; Hydrozoa; Anthoathecata; Hydridae
Source: RefSeq, a predicted model, not a curated record
AAAUCUGUUUUUCUAAUUUCUUUUUUUUUUUGUAGAUGAUGUCAAUGUUACAGAUUUGAGCAAUAAUGAUACUUCAGUAAAAAGAACACAAAAGUUUGACGAUUCAGAAGUAAGCGACAGCGGUAAAAGCUGUAUUAUUGAAAACAGUGAAGGAUUCGAAAUAAUCGAAUGCCUAAAAAAUCUUAAACCGAUAAAAGCAAUAAUGGGUAUAUUUAAAGAAUUGGGAGACAGCAAAAUAUACGACUACUCAUUACAAAAAACUCUAGUUGAUUGUUUGAGUGAUGAAACAGUUUACGUUUAUCUGAGUUUACUUGCUAGUAAU